UGGGGAAUAUUGGACAAUGGGGGGAACCCUGAUCCAGCCAUGCCGCGUGUGUGAAGAAGGCCUUAUGGUUGUAAAGCACUUUAAGCGAGGAGGAGGGUACUGGUAUUAAUACUACCAGCUACUGGACGUUACUCGCAGAAUAAGCACCGGCUAACUCUGUGCCAGCAGCCGCGGUAAUACAGAGGGUGCGAGCGUUAAUCGGAUUUACUGGGCGUAAAGCGUGCGUAGGCGGCUAAUUGAGUCGGAUGUGAAAUCCCCGAGCUUAACUUGGGAAUUGCAUUCGAUACUGGUUAGCUAGAGUGUGGGAGAGGAUGGUAGAAUUCCAGGUGUAGCGGUGAAAUGAGUAGAGAUCUGGAGGAAUACCGAUGGCGAAGGCAGCCAUCUGGCCUAACACUGACGCUGAGGUACGAAAGCAUGGGGAGCAAACAGG
RNAcentral lists this ribosomal RNA (430 nucleotides) under Pseudomonadota bacterium. Its description in RNAcentral is "Proteobacteria bacterium partial 16S ribosomal RNA". It matches the Rfam family "Bacterial small subunit ribosomal RNA", at positions 355 to 776 of the family's 1533-position model. Lineage: Bacteria; Pseudomonadati; Pseudomonadota. The record is from RNAcentral.